AUUUUCACCAAUAUGUACUAUGCUAUUUAUUUUGUUUCAUUCUAUUUGAGUUUAUAAUUUAUAUUUGAAUUUAGUGUCUAUAUUUGAGUUUAUAUUUGGGUUUAGGGUUAGUGAUUAGGGUUUAAGGUAUUGUAUUUAGGGGUUGGAGGUGGGUUAGGAUAAGGUUUAUUAUUUAGAGGUUGAGAAGGGGUUAGUGUCUUAUAAUAUUUUGGUGAUAUGGAAUGGAAACACUUCAGUAAAUUGAAUACACUUUUAUUUAAAAAGUCAUUUGUUUUUUAUCCACUCAUUUUAUUGCAUAUAGUGAAUAAGUAUGUGGUAAAUAAAUCUGUGAC
Molecule: long non-coding RNA, 332 nt
Filed under: Brassica napus (rape)
Lineage: Eukaryota; Viridiplantae; Streptophyta; Magnoliopsida; Brassicales; Brassicaceae
Description: long non-coding RNA (BNAP_LNC018145)
Source: RNAcentral